CCUACGGGUGGCAGCAGUGAGGAAUAUUGGUCCAUGGGCGAGAGCCUGAACCAGCCAAGUCGCGUGAAGGAUGAAGGAUCUAUGGUUUGUAAACUUCUUUUAGAUGGGAAUAAAGUGAGGAACGUGGUCCUUUUUGUAUGUACCAUAUGAAUAAGCAUCGGCUAACUCCGUGCCAGCAGCCGCGGUAAUACGGAGGAUGCGAGCGUUAUCCGGAUUUAUGGGGGUUAAAGGGUGCGUAGGUGGUUAAUUAAGUCAGCAGUGAAAGUUUGUGGCUCAACCAUAAAAUUGCCGUUGAAACUGGUUGGCUUGAGUAUAGUUGAGGUAGGCGGAAUGCGUGGUGUAGCGGUGAAAUGCAUAGAUAUCAUACAGAACACCGAUUGCGAAGGCAGCUUACCAAUCUAUAUCUGACGUUGAGGCACGAAAGCGUGGGGAGCAAACAGGAUUAGAUACCCUAGUAGUC
This 460-nucleotide ribosomal RNA is filed under the name uncultured bacterium. RNAcentral describes it as "partial 16S ribosomal RNA". It matches the Rfam family "Bacterial small subunit ribosomal RNA", at positions 338 to 795 of the family's 1533-position model. The record is from RNAcentral.